RNAcentral lists this long non-coding RNA (1298 nucleotides) under Monodelphis domestica (gray short-tailed opossum). RNAcentral's name for it is "lncRNA (ENSMODG00000043180.1)". The record is from RNAcentral. Lineage: Eukaryota; Metazoa; Chordata; Mammalia; Didelphimorphia; Didelphidae.
CUGCCAAUUUCCUUGUUGUGGAUAAAGUGCUAAGUGUGGAAUCAGAAAGAACAAGUUCAAAUUUUCUCUCACUUACAAGAUGUGUGAUGCUAUGCAAGUCACAUAAUCUGCCUUAGCCUCCAUUUCUUUCCUCUAUAAACUGAGAGGGCUAUAUUUGAUGGCUUCCCAUGUCCUUUUCAACUUUAAAUCUACAAUCAUCUCUAAACCUUUAUUCCAAGUCAGCCACUUCUCUCAAGAGUGUUCUCUGAAUAACUAAAUUUCAGAAACUAAACCAGUGGUGUCCAACUCAAAAGGAAAUUUCUGAAGCCACUAAAUUAUACAUCAUCACGGUCCCUAUUGCCUGCAUUUUGGCUCAGAAAAACAUAUACAUACAUGCAUACAUACAUACAUACAUACAUACAUACAUACAUAUAUACAUAUAACUUUUUAAAUUAAUAAGCUAGCACAUUAAAAUCAGUUUGGAACUACCCUUAAUAUAGCUCAUGUGACUCCUAGGAAGUACUGUUUGAAACCAUUUGUCUGAAACAUUAAUUUCCAGGUCUCUGAGGAACAGGAUAGCAACCGGAGUGGAUAUACUCUGCACUUUCAAGAAGUACUCCUCCAACCAUGUCCUGGACAAAAAGGUGGUUUACUGGGAGCUGACUGAACAGCUCUGUACAAGAAAGCUAAAACACCUGGUUAUAGACAAUGAUAGCCUCAUUGUGAAUGGGUAUCAACAUAAGCUGCCAGGAAUCAGAUCCACAAAGAGUAAGUUUUAGAUUUCUUUAUUGUCUAUUUAUAUCUAUAUAUCUCUCUCUCUUUAAUGGGACACUACAAUGAAAGAUUUUUUAUCUUUUUGUAAGGGAGUAAUAUAAGGCAGAGGAUUAAAAGUGUUGUAGGGAUUCAGAAUUAGAUACACUAUUAGAUAUGGCUAAAGUUUAGACUCCAUUUACUCAUUUGUCUAUUUUCUUUUUGCUACUCAAAAUAUAUAUAAAUAGUUCAAAAGGGAAAAUUAUCCCAGGGGCCUGGGAAAGCAGGCUGUCCCUAUCUCUUUCUUGUUCAAAAUUAAGAGUCAGACCUUGUGGUUUUUCUAAUCUGAUACAAUGAGGGGAUCUCCCAACAUUCCAGAGAGUCUUGUGGCUCUUCCUUAUAUUCUUCAUUCACCAAAGUUGCCCAAUAGUUUUCAUUAAUAAUGUUUUUAUCCUCUGCUUCUUCAAUUAUUACACUCUCUCAAACCUUAGUGUCUUACUCAGUUGUCAUGAUCCUCUGGCAUUACAGGUAGGAAUAAACUAUUCUUAACUUAUCUUCUGGUUUUUCUU